RNAcentral lists this ribosomal RNA (253 nucleotides) under uncultured bacterium. Its description in RNAcentral is "partial 16S ribosomal RNA". It matches the Rfam family "Bacterial small subunit ribosomal RNA", at positions 524 to 776 of the family's 1533-position model. The record is from RNAcentral.
UACGUAGGGGGCAAGCGUUGUCCGGAUUUAUUGGGCGUAAAGAGCGUGUAGGCGGUUUGGUAGGUCCGUUGUGAAAACUCGAGGCUCAACCUCGAGACGCCGAUGGAAACCAUCAGACUAGAGUCCGGAAGAGGAGAGUGGAAUUCCUGGUGUAGCGGUGAAAUGCGCAGAUAUCAGGAGGAACACCGGUGGCGAAGGCGGGUCUCUGGGCCGAUACUGACGCUGAGGAGCGAAAGCCAGGGGAGCGAACGGG